RNAcentral lists this ribosomal RNA (211 nucleotides) under uncultured bacterium. Its description in RNAcentral is "partial 16S ribosomal RNA". It matches the Rfam family "Bacterial small subunit ribosomal RNA", at positions 524 to 734 of the family's 1533-position model. The record is from RNAcentral.
UACGGAGGGAGCUAGCGUUGUUCGGAAUUACUGGGCGUAAAGCGCGCGUAGGCGGCUUUGUAAGUUAGAGGUGAAAGCCCGGGGCUCAACCCCGGAAUUGCCUUUAAGACUGCAUCGCUUGAAUCCGGGAGAGGUGAGUGGAAUUCCGAGUGUAGAGGUGAAAUUCGUAGAUAUUCGGAAGAACACCAGUGGCGAAGGCGGCUCACUGGAC